GGAGAGGUGGCAGAGCGGUUGAAUGCACUCGCUUGGAAAGCGAGCAUACUGUAAAAGGUAUCGGGAGUUCGAAUCUCCCCCUCUCCG
RNAcentral lists this transfer RNA (87 nucleotides) under Candidatus Limnocylindrales bacterium. RNAcentral's name for it is "tRNA-Ser". It matches the Rfam family "tRNA". Rfam says of the family: Transfer RNA (tRNA) molecules are approximately 80 nucleotides in length. Their secondary structure includes four short double-helical elements and three loops (D, anti-codon, and T loops). Lineage: Bacteria; Bacillati; Chloroflexota; Candidatus Limnocylindria; Candidatus Limnocylindrales. RNAcentral also lists the same sequence under 2 other names. The record is from RNAcentral.